Drosophila melanogaster (fruit fly) is the source of this 305-nucleotide non-coding RNA. The record is from Ensembl. Lineage: Eukaryota; Metazoa; Arthropoda; Insecta; Diptera; Drosophilidae.
UGGCGUUCUUGUUCAUCCAUUAACAGUUGCCUACAACUUUGACAUAAUGUUCAAGGACAAAUUUCUACAUACAUCCAUUUUGAUUUACAACCUCAAUUACUCAGCCGCCUUUUUGGGCAGCCCCAAGAGAACUGAACUGACACCCGACCACGCCAUAUAGCAUAUAGUAUAUAGCAUAUAGCACCAGCUCACAGAUCGCAGAACAGAGCUGAAGCGAACCAAACCGAACCGAAAAGAACUGAGCAAACCAUCGCCAUCUUCAACUGGUGGGCCAUUUAUGGGUCUGGCAAUGCCAACAGACCGAC